RNAcentral lists this long non-coding RNA (7678 nucleotides) under Sus scrofa (pig). RNAcentral's name for it is "lncRNA (ENSSSCG00040070227.1)". Lineage: Eukaryota; Metazoa; Chordata; Mammalia; Artiodactyla; Suidae. The record is from RNAcentral.
GCAAAGCAUCGCCCGCAGACCGAGGGGAGACAAAGUUGAGGCAGCGCGAGGGGGCUUCCGAGCUCAGCCCUCCGCACUUAAAGGAAAGACCCCCGGAGCUGCAGCCCAGAAGCUGCCGCUGACCUCGCCAUGCGGCUCUCUGACCUGAGACCCUGGGCCGCCCUACUGCUGGCGGACUCGGCCUUACUCUGGCUGCUCCAGGGACCUCUGGAGGCUCUGCUUCCCCGAGGGCUUCCAGGCCUGUGGCUGGAGGGCACCUUGCAACUUGGAGGGCUUUGGUGGCUGCUGAGGCUGGGAGGGCUGCUGGGAUAUGCGCGGACNCCCCCCCCCCCCCCCCCCCCGCUCCCCGCCCCGUCUGGUGAUCCCUCUGUUUUCCUGAGGGUUCUGGUCUCAGGAACCUUGAAUGUGCCCCCAGCAGAGUGGCUUCAGUCCCUUGGUGCUGCUGCUGCUGGGGUCCGGGGCUGCAGGGCUCAGCUGGGAAGUGUGGGCUGUGCAAACUGUGCAGUUUGCUGGAUUAGGAGCAAGAUGUCUGCUUGUAUAAGGAGGCUCUCAAAUGAUGCUGGCACCUGUGGUGGCCAGGAGACCUGGAACAGGCCCUCUGCCUGCUCUUAAGGAGGGUGAGGAAGCUGGGGGAAGGGCGGGGGCAAGGGAGGGGGAGGGAAAGCAGGGGUUCUGGUCCUCCAGCUGCUCCUGGGGUCCUUGCCGCUUACUGGCAGGGAGGGCAGGAAUGAAAGAUUCUCAGGUCCCCUUUUCUUCUCCCUCUAGAUGCUGCACUUGACAAUGAAGGUGCUGUUGCUGAGCUGUGGGCUGCAGCAGGUCCUGGCUGGGACGUCACCCAGGGCGGGCUGCUGUCCUUUCUGCUCUACCAGGAGAACCUGGGCUCCUACAAGCAAGUGAGUCGGGAGCUGUGCAGGCUGUCUUUCCCACCCCCCUGUUUUCCCCUCUGGCUUCUGGGCCUUGGGUUUUAUUUGUUCCUCUUUAAAAUACAAAAAACAAAACCAAACAAAAACGAAAUAACUCUUAAUUUGUUUGCUAUGAAGAAUUUCAAACAGAUGCAGAAAACCCCACCCCAUGUAAUGAACCCCCAUGUACCCAUCCGCUUUAACAGUUAUCACCUGAAGGCCAGUCUUGUUUCAUCUGUUUCCCCAUCACUCCUCCCAUAUUCUUUUGAAGCAAACCCAAGGUAUGCUUUCAUCUGUAAAUAUUUCUGCGUGUAUCUCUAAACAUAAAAAAAAGUUAUACAGAUAAAACCACAAAGCCACGAUCACACCAGAAAAGUUAACAGUAGCAUCAUCAGUCAGUGGUCAAAUUUCCGCGUGUCUCAUAGAGGUAGUAGAAGUGUAUACACUGAGUCGAUCUCUUUCUCUCUCUCAUCUGUGGGGGCACCAUCCACCAGUGCUCAGGGUCCGUCACAUUACUGGGGGCUGCAAAACAGUGACCCUCGCCAUUCCCUCCUUCAUUAGCAGGGGUUCAUCUCUCAAGGGAGACGUCUCCUCAUCUGCUGUGUGGUUCCCAGGGGUGCAGUUUGAUGAAGAAAGGCAGAAUGAGCAUUCAGCUCCUUGCCUGUAAUUACCAGGUUCCAAAAAUAAUUAGUUCCUGCAUCUUGGGCUUUAUUCGAUAAUUUUCGUGGACAUUUGUUAAACAUGGUUAUGUUGGAGAGCUGCGUGGGAGGCACUCUGGGGGCUACAAAGAUGAGGUGGGCACAGUGCCUGCCUUUAAGGAGUCCCCUGUCUCAUCAGGCAGAACUGUGUAGGGGUCACAGGGACCAGUCCCUGGACAGGUGUGGGGUGGGAGGAACACUGUGUGGGAGGAGUGUGGAUGUCUCCUUCCUUUAUGUUGCAAAUUGGAGUAAUGGGGGAUUGGGGCUGAUGUUAAAUUCCAUCGGCAUUUAUUUUUUUUGUCUUUUUAGGGCUGCACCCGUGGCAUAUGGAGGUUCCCAGGCUAGGGGUCCAAUCGGAGCUGUAGCCACCGGCCUACGCCAGAGCCAUAGCAACGCAUGGCUGGGGCGGCAUGGGGCAGGGAGUGCGUGAGGAGGUGAGAGGUUGAAAGUAGAACUUUUGAUCUAUGAUCCAGCAAUUUGAAGUCUGAUAUUUUUCCAACGAACACAGAAACAUUACCUAUAAAGAUAGACUCAACCCUGUAUUUAUUGCAGCAUUAUUUACAGUAGCAAAGAUAUGGACGCAGCCUAAGUAUCUGUCAGUAGAACAGAUAAAGAAGAUACCACAGUGGAAUGUUACUCAGCCAUGAAAAAGAAUGAAAUUCUUCCAUUUACUACAACAUGGAUGGACUCAGUGGGUAUUAUGCUAAGUGAAAUAAGUCAGAGGAAGACGAAUACUCUAUGAUUUCACUUGUUGGUGGAAUUUAAGAAACAAAUGAACAGAACAAAACAGAAACUGACCCAAGAUACAGAGGACAAAGAGGUAGUUGUCAGAAAAGUGGUGGGUGGGGGCCAAAAACAUAGCCCGGCAGUUUCCGGCUCCAGGAUAAUGAGUUAGGAGCAGGGGGGCAUCUGUGUGUAUGUUCUGCCCCCAGUUGAUCACGCACUCUCUUCAUGGGUCAGGUCCCUGUGGUCUUGGUCCCAGACCCCCAGUUCUCAAGGACUUAAGGACCAGCAUGUUCUCAAAUACUGGAGGACAAUUGUGGGAUGUCUGAAAAAGUCUAAAGCCUCCUUGGGGGGAGGCGCUCCCACAUCCAGUGUCUGAGUCUUCCCCAAAUUUCCAGUGUCUGCUCGGGUCAUCUGGGAAAGAGAUUAGGGGCAGAGACCGUCCCUAAAGAAAGCCCCGUGCUGGCUUCGUGGUUUCCUUCACGGUGUCUCAUUUUUCUCUCCCCUCCUAGUGCAACCGGAGGUGACAGUGCAUCCGGAGAGGACCCCGUCCCUGCAGCUCCGCAACCUGCUGCUUUGCUCUGUGACAGGGUUCUACCCAGGGGCCAUCGAGAUCAGGUGGUUCCGGAACGGGCAGGAGCAGAGAGAGGGGGUCCUGGCCACUGGCCUCGUCAGGAAUGGAGACUGGACCUUUCAGACAGUGGUGAUGCUGGAAAUGACUCCUGAGCUUGGGGACGUCUACACCAGCCUGCUGAGCCCCGUUUCUGUGGAGUGGAGUGAGAAUCAGCUUCUUGUACUUUCGGGGUCCAUCUGACUCAAGACGGGUCCUGAGCUACCUCCAUGCUCAUCCUGGUCAGAACACUAGUUUGUCCGUCCUUCCCUGAUCUGAGGGAACCAUAGAAAUUGGGGUCGUGGGAGGAAACAUGCAGAGAUCUGUCUUUGUAUCUUCCAGACACUAAGGAGGUCUAAUCGUCUUGUCCCUUACUUCCAACUUUGGGAACUAGUGUUCCCUACACUUUGGUCUUGGUGUUUAAGGGGGAUUCUUUUUUUGGGGGGGGUCAUGCCUGCUGCCUGGGGAAGUUCCUGGGCUAGGGAUCAAACCUGUGCCACAGCAGUGACUCAAGCCACAGGAGUGACAAAGCUGGAUCCUUAACCCCCUGCACUACCAGGGAACUCCUCAUGGAACAUUCUUAAGGGCCAUCAGAAUCAAAAACGGAAACUCCAUGGGCACAAACCUUGGCUUUGAGGAUGUAUUACUUCCCUAGAUAACAUUGGAUUUGUGUCCUGCACAGGAUCUGGGGUUUUAAGAACUUACAUCAAAGCCUUUUGUUAACUUUAAGACCUGUUACUCAUAGGAGCUCACUCUGAACAUUCUUGGAGAAAGGUGCUAAGUGGAGUUGCAGCCUUCCUGGUGGGGCUCAUCUUUUUGGUGGGGAUUGUCCUUCAUGUCAAAGGUCUGGAAAGGUAAUGAGCUCUGAGGGGCCCCUGCCCUCUGCACCCCAGCUUCUCCCACUUCCUACUUUCCCUGAUGUCUAAGAUGCGAGCCAGGGAGGGCUGGCUGUGCUGCUUCAGGACCCCUGGGAUAAUCGGGGGUGGGGUUCUGGAACUGCAGGCGCCAGCUACACCAGUGAAGCAGAAGGGAACUGUGACACCACGCCCUGGACUGCGUACAAGAAAGUGCAGACUAGAAAGUGAAGACCCAGAAAUUGAAUGGAAAGAAAACAAAAAGCCAUGAAAUGAGAGUUAACUAAAGUCAGAAAAGAGAGUAAUAAUUAAAAAAAGACAAAAUCAGGAAGUUCCCCGGUGGCCUAGAGGUUAAGGAUUCCGCACUGUCACUGCUGUGGCUCAGGUUUGAACAUUGGCCUGGGAACUUCUGCAUGCCAUGGGCCCGGCCAAAAAAAACCCCAAACCAAAAUCAUAUUAGAAGUGAAGACUAGAUUACACCUGGGUAAUAUAUUUAAAUAAAAAGAUAAAAGAAGGCAUUGCAAAAAGGCAUAAAGAGAAUCAAGAGAAUUGACAAUCUAAUAAACUAGGUAAACAGGUAUCAGUGCUUAUAAUGGUUUCCUACUACAAAACAGAUGACCGCCACAGCAGGUUAAAACAAUACACAUUUGUUUUUUUCAUAGUUUUUGUGGGUCAGAGGUCCAGUUAUAACCUAAAAACUGGGUCCUCGGAGUUCUUGCUAUGGCACAGAGGGUUAAGAAUCUGACUCCAGUGGCUCGCGUUGCCGCAAAGGUUAGGGUUUGAUCCCUGGCCCAUGGCAGUGGGUUAAAGAAUCCGGUGUUGCUGCAGCUGGGCCUCAGAUUUAAUCCCUGCCUGGGGAAUUUCCAUAUGCUCCAGGUACGGCCGUAACCCCCGCCCCCCGCCCCAAACUAGUCUCUUCUUCAGGGUCUCAGGCUGCAGCUGAGGCAUUGUUCAGACUGUUGUGUUCCUUACUGGGGGCUCUACUGUCCAAAUUCAUGCAGGUUGUUGGCAGAAUUCACCUGCUCCAGAUGGGAGCUCUGAGGUCCCUGAUUUCCUGCUCAGCUCCUAGAGGUCACCUGCAGUUUCCUGCCCCAUGGCACUCUCCCAGGCUUAGAGCCAGCCAAGGAGAGUCUCUCCAGCACGCUAAAAUGAAGUUUUUUGUAAGAAACGUAAUCAGGAGUGACAGCCCAUCGCCUCUGACCUAUAAUAUCUUAUUCACAGACGUCCCGUCACCUUUGACCUAUAAUAUCCUAUUCACAGACAUCCUGUCACCUUUGCCAUAUUAUCCUGGUUAGAAGCAAGUCACAGGUCCCAUUAACUUUCAAAGGAAGAGAUUAUCCGAGGACUUGAUUCAUUGGAUGUCACUUUAGAAUGUGUCUGCUCUCUGGCCUUUGAUGAGCCUUGUCCCUUCCACGUGAACAAAUCAUCGUCCCAUUCCAAGUUUCCUUAAAGUCUCAUUCCAGUAUAGCAUCGGAUGAAAGUCCGGAAUCUCAUCAUCUGAAUCAGGUGCCGGUGAGGAGGAGGCUACUGGAGGUACAACUUUGUGGAGCUGUGAAACUAAGAGGCAGGAGAUCUGUCUCCAGUACAGCCAACUUAAAGUUGUCAGGCAGGCGUUGGGUAACUGCUAUAAAUAUUUCUGUCCAAAAAGGAGUUGCUGGUCCAUGGCAAUUCUGAAUUCCAGUUGAGAAAACUCCAGCCAGAGUCCUUGGUUAAAUUUCAGAGACUAGGGACAAUCCAGGUCUGAAGUGGGAAAGGCCAAUGUUUGUUCCUAAAAGGUGGCAACUGGCCAGCUGUUAUUUCUCUGACUAGUCUUCAGGAUAUCUUGGCUCUCUCUCUGGAUUCUUGGCCCUGCCCUAUUGGUCAACUUUUUUUUUUUUUUUUUUUUUUUGAGGUCAUAGGAGGUAGCCCUUGCUUACAGUGAGUAGUUUCAUCAGCCUGCUUCCUGCCAGUGGAAUCUGGGGAGUCUGAUAGCCUCCUUUCACGUUGUGCUUCCUCCUUUAAAUCCAGGCAGCAGUAUGUCUUUUUUUUUUUGUUUUAUUGUUUUAAAAAAUUAUUAAAGUUGAUUUACAAUGUUCUGUCAAUUUCUGCUGCACAGCAAAGUGACCCAGCUCUACAUCCAUAUACAUUUUUUUUUCACAUUACCCUCCAUCAUGUUCCAUCGCAAGCGGUCAGAUAUAGUUCCCAGUGCUAUACAGCAGAAUUGCAUUGCUUUUUUAAAAAUUUUAAAGCAUUUUUAUUAAAAUUUUUUUAUUAUAGUUGAUUUACAAUGUUCCAUCAAGUUCUGUGAGAAGUUUCUUAAAACCUUUGGAUAUCUUCUGUGGAUUUUUCGUGAUGCGUUCCAUCAGACUGAAGCCACAUCUAAAAGGACACAUCUGUCCUUUUAGCGACAAUCACUUCUCUGAGUUGGCCCUGCCGGGAUGACUGAGAGGAUUGGCGAGCCGCACGUUUCAUCUCUUGAGAAGGCUCUUUGCAUGACUGAAUUCUCUAACUACUUGGUAUAUAAAAGGAUAUAUACGUAUAUAUAUAUAUGACAGGAAACAGACAGGAAACGGAUUUACCUAAAAUAUCAUGAGCCAGAAAACACCGGUAAAUAUUGGGUGCUGCAGGAAAGGCAGUGUAAGAGAGGUUUUGGGUGAGGAGAUGAAAGGGAGGCAAGAGACAAAUCUGAGCAGAAGCCAGGAGGAGUGGAUAAUGGGGAAAGGGGUUGUACGAGGGUGUUAUUUUAAAACUUGCCCUUGGAUAAGCAAUGAGACCGUCCUGUAUAUAGCACAGAGAACUGCAUCUAGUCUCUUGGGAUAGACCGUAGUGGAAGAUAAUAGGAGAAAAAGAAUGUGUAUAUAUAUAUAUGUAUGACUGAGUCACUAUGCUGUACAUACAGCAGAAAUUGACGGAACACUAUAAAUCAGCUAUACUCUAAUUAAAAAAUAAAUGAAAAAAACCUUGCCCUAUGUGGCAUGAUUCAAUUUUCUCACUGCCACAUCCUUGGAGACCUAAAUUACAUUAAACAUUUUAGAAUUGUAUUUGGUUUUUCUUUUGAUAUAAAACUGCUAAAGUACACUGAUUCACUGGAAGUUCAAGGUCCCUCUUUCCGUCCUAGGACAUUGGCAACCACAAGCGUAUUGAUUGGGCCAUGUAUACCAGCAGAUGGAGACAUUGCACUUUAGAAAUUCAAGGCAACCUGAGCUUUCCCUUCUCCCUUUCAGAUGUGGAGUGUGGCAUUUCUUCCUAGAGGAUGGGAAACCAGCUCGGCCAGCUCUCAUUGCCCUGACUAGUCCUUUCACAUUUCCAGAAUAUGUUGAAAUCAGAGAUGUGGUUUUGGAUGUUUGGGAAGCAAAGAAGCAUAAAAUGGAGCAGAAGGUAAAGCCAGCUUUUGCCUGAAGAUGGAGUUCAGUCUUUUUACAUGUUUUAGCAGGGAUUUGUCUGCUAGAGACAAGUGAUGCUGCCUCACAUCUACUCCUCAUUGGCUGGAGAGAAAACCAUUAUAUCCUUAAAAAUAGCUCUGCAAAAUCUCUUUGCCGUCAUUGUCUUUAUUUGAGUGUUAGAGUUGAGCGUCAGCAUUAAAAGUCAGAGUUUUGGGGAAGGGAAGUAGCUGUAGGAAGCCACUUAGUACGUAAGCGUACCUUCCAUCUUCCAGGGCACCCUGCUCUUGCCUCGACACAGUUGCUCUAACAUCAAAGGGAGGUGAUAGGAUCAGCAGUGGGAGGAGGGGACAGAGUCACAAUUAGAUCAUGAAUCUUAAACCAGUGGUGGCUCAGCACUAACAGGUAUUCAAGAAGUAAUUAACUAUAAAUGUUAGCAGCUUAACGUGUUUGCCUCUUGGGAAAUCCAGGGGAUAGGUCUUGUGUGAAGGGGUCAAAUAAACAUCAGAGUCAAAUAAACAUCAUUUGUAAC